RNAcentral lists this unclassified non-coding RNA (240 nucleotides) under soil metagenome. Its description in RNAcentral is "partial contains 5.8S ribosomal RNA, internal transcribed spacer 2, and large subunit ribosomal RNA". The record is from RNAcentral.
AACGCACGAGACCUGCGGACCUGCGGAGGGAUCAUUACCGAGUUUACAACUCCCAAACCCAAUGUGAACGUUACCAAACUGUUGCCUCGGCGGGAUCUCUGCCCCGGGUGCGUCGCAGCCCCGGACCAAGGCGCCCGCCGGAGGACCAACCUAAAACUCUUAUUGUAUACCCCCUCGCGGGUUUUUUUAUAAUCUGAGCCCUCUCGGCGCCUCUCGUAGGCGUUUCGAAAAUGAAUCAAA